Molecule: non-coding RNA, 4152 nt
Organism: Salmo salar (Atlantic salmon)
Lineage: Eukaryota; Metazoa; Chordata; Actinopteri; Salmoniformes; Salmonidae
Source: RefSeq, a predicted model, not a curated record
AUAGUCCGGGUAGCUAUUUGGUUAACUACUGUAUUUAACUAACAAGUGGGGGUGGGUUGUCAGAACUGGAGCAAAGGAGAUAUAAACAUUUUGCAAAACAAACUCCUGGGGGUCUGCCUAGUUUUGGGGAGGGACAAAAUGCGAGGGAACAGGAGGACUGAACAGAAAAGAGUCCAACACAUGGAGAGGGCAUUUGGAAUAGUUGAAUGAAUGACAUAUGGGCAAGUUUGAAAGUUGAGAGACGUAUUGAGCAAUGCGUGUUUUGUAAGUUAUUCUUUUAAAAUAUUGAUUUAGUUGGUUUUAGGGUAACGUAUCAUGAUGUAACGUGGCUAGCCAGCUACAGUAGUUGAAGACUUUGAACGGAGAACACGAUACAGUGGGACAGUGAGCGCUUUAGCUCGCAACACCUCAGUGAACUGAAGCAAGAACACUUCUCUUUCAGUUUAUCUUUACUCUUCUUUACGCUGUCGUCGAACUUGUCUUACAUUUCACAGAUAAGCUUGUUGCUAACGGUUUGAUACCUGUCAAGUUUAACUUUUGUGGUCAUUGGACAUGGUUUUCAAUAACAGUUAGCUAGCUAAAGUUAGUCAGCCAUCAUUAAUUUGUAUUUUUCAACGUUGGACGGACUGAAUGUUCACCUUUGGGAUACUUAACGUUACUGUCAGUAAACAGCAACAAGACAACAUCAACGUUGUAUUUUAAACAAGAGACAAUAUGCAAAAGUUCAACUCGACACACACGAGUACUCUUCCUCGGGACGAUGAGCUUCAGCAGCGUUUAGCCGACAACGGGGGGAGCCGGGGAGGCGAUGAAGGAAAACGGCGCUGGGAAGAAACACAUCCUUGCAGAACCUGCAGACAGUUCACUCUGUACCAAGAGAAAGAUGCUGGUCGGCUUGGAUGUUUUCUGUCUGUUUGUAGCCUCCAUCCCAUUCUUUGCGUGUGAGUUGAAGGCGGUGACUCCGUACCAGAGGGGUUUCUUCUGUGGGGACCAGAGCAUCACCUACCCCUACCUGGAGAGAGAGGCCAUCCCUGACGCACUGCUCAUCGCUGGGGGCAUCGUCAUCACUGGCCUCACGAUUGCGCUGGGCGAGUGUUACCGGGUUCGAUUCCGUGAGGUGCAAUCUCGCGCCUUCGUGCGCAACCACUACGUGUCCUGCCUCUAUAAGGAGCUGGGCAGCUUCCUGUUCGGCUGCUGCGUGGGCCAAUCAUUGACCAACAUGGCCAAGCUGAGCGUGGGGCGCCUGCGACCUAACUUCCUGUCGGUGUGCAACGUGACAUACGCCUCGCUCAACUGCGUCCCCGGCUCCUACGUGGCCCAGGUCACCUGCAGGCAGCCCAAACACAAGAUGGUGGAGGAGGCCAGGAAGUCCUUUUUCUCUGGCCAUUCCUCUUUUGCCAUGUACACCAUGCUCUACCUGGCGUUCUACCUGCAGGCGCGGUUGUCAUGGCGAGGGGCUCGUCUGCUGCGCCCGCUGCUGCAGUUCCUGCUGGUGAUGAUAGCCGUGUACACCGGGCUGAGCCGCAUCUCCGACUACCGCCACCACCCCACCGACGUGAUCACCGGCUUCAUCCAGGGAGGCCUCACCGCCUACUGGGUGGCCUUCUAUAUUUCCUCCAUGUUUAAGAACAACCGUCCAGACCUGUCUCCCACCAGCAUGUCUCUGGAGAGUCCCCUGUCCAGCCAACAGACCGUCUGCUAGCACCACCUGCCCCAACACACCCCUCCUCACCUACCUGGACAGAUGGGGGAUGGGAGAAAAGACAGAAAGAGAGAGGGAGAGAGAGACAGUCAGAUAGCAGAGGUGAGCAGCACAUGGAGGGACAGGGAGGGAGAGAAGGUGUGUGAAAGGGAAGGGGGAUGAGAUAAGAGGUAGAGCAGGUAAAGAGCGUUCUAGCAAGUACACACAUGCUCUGAUGAAUACGUCAAGACACGCACGCACACGCAGUGCCACCUCUCUCUCUCUCUCACUAACACCCACUACCAUUUAACACACACACACACAAACACACACACCAAAUCACUGUAGAGUACAACCCGUCCACAUGGAGAUAUGCAUAGUAAUUUUACAGAUAUUUUUGUAUAUGAAAAACGACAAAUGUUUCUAUUUUUCAAAUGAGAGUCGUAGAUGAAGCUGCUAAUGAUAAUGAUUUUUUCCUGUUCUAAGUAGAAUAUGUUUUAUAUGUGAUGGUGGUUAGUGGGCAGUGCAUUAGGUUAGCUCUCACAAACACACGGUCAGUCAGUGUCUCUAAAUUAUCUUCAUUGGUCGUCACUUCGUUGGUCAUCCUCUGACCAGCCUGGAUGAUGACAUCAUCAGCUGGACUCCACUUCUUCAGCUUGACGUCCCCUGACUAUAAUUCUGUGGAUGUCUCGUUGACGUCCCCUGACUAUAAUUCUGUGGAUGUCUCAUUGACGUCCCCUGACUAUAAUUCUGUGGAUGUCUCAUUGACGUCCCCUGACUAUAAUUCUGUGGAUGUCUCAUUGACGUCCCCUGACUAUAAUUCUGUGGAUGUCUCAUUGACGUCCCCUGACUAUAAUUCUGUGGAUGUCUCAUUGACGUCCCCUGACUAUAAUUCUGUGGAUGUCUCAUUGACGUCCCCUGACUAUAAUUCUGUGGAUGUCUCAUUGACGUCCCCGGACUAUAAUUCUGUGGAUGUCUCAUUGACGUCCCCUGACUAUAAUUCUGUGGAUGUCUCAUUGACGUCCCCUGACUAUAAUUCUGUGGAUGUCUCAUUGACGUCCCCUGACUAUAAUUCUGUGGAUGUCUCAUUGACGUCCCCUGACUAUAAUUCUGUGGAUGUCUCAUUGACGUCCCCUGACUAUAAUUCUGUGGAUGUCUCAUUGACGUCCCCUGACUAUAAUUCUGUGGAUGUCUCAUUGACGUCCCCUGACUAUAAUUCUGUGGAUGUCUCAUUGACGUCCCCUGACUAUAAUUCUGUGGAUGUCUCAUUGACGUCCCCUGACUAUAAUUCUGUGGAUGUCUCAUUGACGUCCCCUGACUAUAAUUCUGUGGAUGUCUCGUUGACGUCCCCUGACUAUAAUUCUGUGGCUGUCUCAUUGACGUCCCCUGACUAUAAUUCUGUGGAUGUCUCGUUGACGUCCCCUGACUAUAAUUCUGUGGAUGUCUCAUUGACGUCCCCUGACUAUAAUUCUGUGGAUGUCUCGUUGACGUCCCCUGACUAUAAUUCUGUUGAUGUCUCAUUGUGUGAAAGGAGACAGUCAGAACUGAACUGUUAUUUCAGACCUCUACAUGGAACAACAGCGCUGCAUGGAGUGACAAAACCUGGCAACCAAUAAGGAACAAGCACUGGCCUCGUGUGCCCUCUUUACCAGUACCCUCUCCAUCCUUCACCCUCUAACUACACAGCAACUAGUAGAGGAUGUCAUGGACAAAGACAAAAGAGAACACUUUGUAUUAAACCAAGUAUCUUAUCUUAACUUAAGUUACCCAGGAGUGAUAGGGUGGAAUUCUGCUUUGCCCAGGUUACGUCCCCUCCCCUUCACUCCCACGCUUUUCCAUGUCUGUACUCUCUACUAACCACUUAUUACUGUGUCUCAGAGGCGGAGCUAUGACUGAACCCUGUAACCUUUGACCUAUUACCCUGACCUCUGAGCUGCACCUUGAGUUAUGCCACUCUCACAGGGGAGCCAAAAUGACUGCCUCGUGUUGCCUAUGGCAGAGGUCCCCUGUAUAUUCCUAUUAAUAGCACUUGAACUACAUAAUGGAACCUACUCUGAUAGUAUAAUUGAUAUUAUAUAUAUUUUAUCUCAAGUUUGAAUAAUCAGUGUUUUAUUUCUCUUAAUAUGUCACUCUCAUACGGUAUAUGUUUUAGUUUUUUUCCAAAUGAUAAUUAUUCAAAUUGAAUGUAAAUAGAUAUGUCCUUUUAUAAACCACACAGAAUUUCAAAAGUAUUAUUAGUGCCAUUUUUGGACAGUUUUUUUUCACGUUUAUGUGUUAUGUGUCUGUGUUGUUGAUCAGGUACACAGAGUUGUUGUUAUUGUCAUAACGACUAGACUGAGCCAGAGCUAUUAUCAGAAAGCUAUUUCUUGUUUCCAGUUUUGUGUUUUUUGUAUUCUCUGUGAAUGCCAGAAUGGCUGAAAAUAACCACUGUACUCAAAAAACCAAACCAAUAAAAUGAAUGUUGAAUCUUU